Molecule: ribosomal RNA, 711 nt
Filed under: Flectobacillus roseus
Lineage: Bacteria; Pseudomonadati; Bacteroidota; Cytophagia; Cytophagales; Flectobacillaceae
Description: bacterial SSU rRNA
Rfam family: Bacterial small subunit ribosomal RNA
Source: RNAcentral
ACGUAUGCAACCUACCUAUCAUUGGGGGAUAGCCUUUGGAAACGGAGAUUAAUACCGCAUAAGACAGUAACAUGGCAUCAUGUAGCUGUUAAAGCUUUGGCGAUGAUAGAUGGGCAUGCGUCCAAUUAGUUAGUUGGUGAGGUAACGGCUCACCAAGACGAUGAUUGGUAGGGGAUCUGAGAGGAUAAUCCCCCACACUGGCACUGAGAUACGGGCCAGACUCCUACGGGAGGCAGCAGUAGGGAAUAUUGGGCAAUGGACGGAAGUCUGACCCAGCCAUGCCGCGUGCAGGAAGAAGGCGUUAUGCGUUGUAAACUGCUUUUUUAUAGGAAGAAGGAGACCUUGCGAGGUUUGGUGACGGUACUAUAAGAAUAAGCACCGGCUAACUCCGUGCCAGCAGCCGCGGUAAUACGGAGGGUGCGAGCGUUGUCCGGAUUUAUUGGGUUUAAAGGGUGCGUAGGCGGUUUAUUAAGUCAGUGGUGAAAGACGGUCGCUCAACGAUUGCAGUGCCAUUGAUACUGGUAGACUUGAGUUCGUAUGAGGUAGCUGGAAUGGAUAGUGUAGCGGUGAAAUGCAUAGAUAUUAUCCAGAACUCCAAUUGCGUAGGCAGGUUACUAAUACGAUACUGACGCUGAUGCACGAAAGUGUGGGGAUCAAACAGGAUUAGAUACCCUGGUAGUCCACACUGUAAACGAUGAUGACUAACUGUUU